Molecule: ribosomal RNA, 465 nt
Filed under: uncultured bacterium
Lineage: Bacteria
Description: partial 16S ribosomal RNA
Rfam family: Bacterial small subunit ribosomal RNA
Source: RNAcentral
CUACGGGCUGCAGCAGUGGGGAAUAUUGGACAAUGGGGGAAACCCUGAUCCAGCAAUGCCGCGUAUGUGAAGAAGGCCUGCGGGUUGUAAAGCACUUUCGGUUGGGAGGACUGCUUCUAGCACUAAUAUUGUUGGAAGUUGACGUUACCUUCAGAAGAAGCACCGGCUAACUCCGUGCCAGCAGCCGCGGGAAUACGGAGGGUGCAAGCGUUAAUCGGAAUUACUGGGCGUAAAGCGCGCGUAGGCGGCUAGAUCAGUCGGGUGUGAAAGCCCCGGGCUUAACCUGGGAACUGCCUCCGAUACUGUCUAGCUUGAGUACAGGAGAGGAGAGUGGAAUUCCACAUGUAGCGGUGACAUGCGUAGAUAUGUGGAGGAACACCAAUGGCGAAGGCAGCUCUCUGGCCUGAUACUGACGCUGAGGUGCGAAAGCGUGGGGAGCAAACAGGAUUAGAUACCCUCGUAGUC